CCUACGGGAGACAGCAGUGAGGAAUAUUGGUCAAUGGUCGGGAGACUGAACCAGCCAAGCCGCGUGAGGGAUGAAGGUACAGAGUAUCGUAAACCUCUUUUGUCAGGGAACAAAGGCGGGGACGUGUCCCCGGAGGAGUGUACCUGAAGAAAAAGCAUCGGGUAACUCCGUGCCAGCAGCCGCGGUAAUACGGAGUAUGCGAGCGUUAUCCGGUUUUAUUGGGUGUAAAGGGGGCGCAGGCGGUCUGUUAAGUCAGCGGUCAAAGCCCGGGGCUCAACCCCGGCCCGCCGUUGAAACUGGCAGUCUCGAGUUGGAGAGAAGUAUGCGGAAUGCGCGGUGUAGCGGUGAAAUGCAUAGAUAUCGCGCAGAACUCCGAUUGCGAAGGCAGCAUGCCGGCUCCACACUGACGCUGAGGCACGAAAGCGUGGGUAUCGAACAGGAUUAGAUACCCGAGUAGUC
This 459-nucleotide ribosomal RNA is filed under the name uncultured bacterium. Its description in RNAcentral is "partial 16S ribosomal RNA". It matches the Rfam family "Bacterial small subunit ribosomal RNA", at positions 338 to 795 of the family's 1533-position model. The record is from RNAcentral.